RNAcentral lists this long non-coding RNA (819 nucleotides) under Homo sapiens (human). RNAcentral's name for it is "long non-coding RNA NONHSAT112952.2". Lineage: Eukaryota; Metazoa; Chordata; Mammalia; Primates; Hominidae. The record is from RNAcentral.
GCUGAAUCCAGUGGGGCUAUCUCCACUCCAGGCAAAUCCAGCCAGAGACUGAUUCUGAGCAGCAGUUCUGCCCGGCACUGACUCACUGGCCCUGCCAUGCCCACGCCACUGCUCCCGCUGCUGCUUCGAUUGCUGCUGUCCUGCCUGCUGCUGCCUGCUGCCCGCCUGGCCCGCCAAUACCUCCUGCCCCUGCUGCGCCGAUUGGCCCGCCGCCUGGGCUCCCAGGACAUGCGAGAGGCUUUGCUGGGCUGUCUGCUGUUCAUUCUCAGCCAGCGACACUCGCCAGACGCUGGGGAGGCCUCAAGAGUGGACCGCCUGGAGAGGAGGGAGAGGUUAGGCCCCCAAAAGUGAGGCCACAAGUCCUGGCAGCAGCUGUAUCCACAAAAUGCUUUCUUUUGGAGUAGGAUAAUCCUGGCACCAGCACUGACCGAAGCCUGCCCAGUGGACAGAAGAUAUAGUGAGGGUUGUGCAUGAGAGGGAUCUGCCACAGACAUGCCUCUCCACUCCCAACAGAAAUGUCUUUCUGGAAGAAUGCCUUGCAUCUAGCACAAAACUGAUUAUUGCCCCUCUGUCCUCCAGCAGUUCCUCCCAAAGACCACUCCUAAUCACCUCUGGCCUCAGGCGGGAGGGGAACUAACACCCACCCACCCCUGCCCUCCCUGCAAAUGGGAACAUCAAGGUUCCCAGUGCUUAACUGAGGGACAAGUGACAAUUUAGCAGAGAGGCAAGAUUUGAAUCCAGACUGUCUUCCAGACUCAGGACCUACCUUAAAAUAAUAUCUGAGUUGCUUAUGGAGGCAGACCUGCCUGCAAAGCCCAG